This 247-nucleotide ribosomal RNA is filed under the name uncultured Actinomycetales bacterium. RNAcentral's name for it is "partial 16S ribosomal RNA". It matches the Rfam family "Bacterial small subunit ribosomal RNA", at positions 86 to 334 of the family's 1533-position model. Lineage: Bacteria; Bacillati; Actinomycetota; Actinomycetes; Actinomycetales. The record is from RNAcentral.
GGUGCUCGAGUGGCGAACGGGUGAGUAACACGUGAGUAACCUGCCCUUGACUUUGGGAUAACUUCAGGAAACUGGGGCUAAUACCGGAUAGGAGCUCCUGCUGCAUGGUGGGGGUCGGAAAGUUUCGGCGGUUGGGGAUGGACUCGCGGCUUAUCAGCUUGUUGGUGGGGUAGUGGCUUACCAAGGCUUUGACGGGUAGCCGGCCUGAGAGGGUGACCGGCCACAUUGGGACUGAGAUACGGCCCAG